Molecule: long non-coding RNA, 253 nt
Filed under: Elaeis guineensis (African oil palm)
Lineage: Eukaryota; Viridiplantae; Streptophyta; Magnoliopsida; Arecales; Arecaceae
Description: long non-coding RNA (EGUI_LNC015258)
Source: RNAcentral
UGGGAGUUGUUUUAAAGCCUUUUUCUCUUCUUCAAAUUUGUACACCACUUUCAUAAUUCCUUUCUUUUUGUAAUAAUGAAAUUUUCUCUUCACACUGCUUGUAGAAAUAGGCCAAAGGCUGAUUCAUCUUAUAUUUUUAUAUCUUCCGCAUGGUUGUUUUACUUUAUUCUAUCUUGAAUUUCAUAAUUUGCUAGUAAAAUUGGAAAAAGUUGACAUUUGGAGCUAACAUCCAUUAGAGCAUAUGCCCUACCAG